RNAcentral lists this long non-coding RNA (244 nucleotides) under Solanum tuberosum (potato). RNAcentral describes it as "long non-coding RNA (STUB_LNC004937)". Lineage: Eukaryota; Viridiplantae; Streptophyta; Magnoliopsida; Solanales; Solanaceae. The record is from RNAcentral.
UAAGACACAAAGUUAGCAAUGGAAUAUGUGGAUUUACACUGACGUGUACCUUUUCGAAGAGCAAUAGGAAGGUCAAAAUUUUCUAAAGAAUCAAAUAGAGAAGGAACUAAUGAAGAAGGAGAUGUAGGAUAAGUAUCAUCAUUACCUCUCCUCCUCGAGUAAACUUGAACAAUUGGCAAUCUUGUUGGAACGGAUGAAGCAGUUUCUGAAGGCAUAAUAGUUGACUGAUUCUCAAUGAAUGAAC